This 1839-nucleotide long non-coding RNA is filed under the name Sus scrofa (pig). Its description in RNAcentral is "lncRNA (ENSSSCG00030068114.1)". The record is from RNAcentral. Lineage: Eukaryota; Metazoa; Chordata; Mammalia; Artiodactyla; Suidae.
UUUUUUUUUUGGCUUUUUAGGGCCGCACGCAUGGCAUAUGGAGGUUCUGUGGCUAGGGGUCCAAUCGGAGCUAUAGCUGCCAGCCUACACCGCAGCCACAGCAAUGAGGGAUCCGAGCCGCGUCUGCAACCUACACCACAGCUCACGGCAAUGCUAGAUCCUUAACCCACUGAGCAAGCCAGGGAAAAAUUUUUUUUUCCAAACUUUCUCCCUCAGCUGACCACAGUUUUCAUUCAACUGUGGACGAUUACGAGAGAAAUCCAGGAAAGAAAUUUAUUUAUUGCUCUACAACUUUCAUUAAACUACUUAUUAUACUCAGUACCAGCUAACUCUUCGAAAUAAUUUCUCAAAGUUCUUCCAACCUUAUUCCAUUCAAGUAGUCCUAAAACGUUUAUUGAACCAUUGAAUUUUAUUGACUAAAAAUUCCUUUGAGGUACUUGCUAACAUUAUUAUCAUUAGGUAUUAGGAGGAUUAUUGCAAGUUCAUCUUGGUGAGGAUUUGCCAGAUGUAAGCUAUUAUUUUCUCCCAACCUUGUGAAAUCUUUGCUUCAGAACAAAAUCCUUAUAGGCAAUGGGAUCUGCAUUAGGCAGGUACACCUUCUGUAUUGGUGAUAAAAUAAAAGUACACACAUUUCUAAAAAUGUCAUUCAACUUAACAUGGCAGAUGCAAAACAGAUGAAUGUUAUUCUUCUAAGAGAGUGACUGCUAAUCUUGAGAGAUGAACUGAAGCAGGUGAUCCAAGGUAUUUUUGCAUUGACUGUUGUUUUCUUCCCCACACAUUUCAGAAAAAAAUAAAACAGCUUUUAACAUAUAUUACUGAUAAUGAUUGUUUUCAGCACUGUAGUUUGUAACGACAUUUGGAAUUGAUCAACUUUUUUAUUUUAUUUAUUUAUUUAUUUAUUGGGGGUUUUUUUGUUUGUCUUUUUGCCUUUUCUAGGGCUGCACCCGCGGCAUAUGGAGGUUCCCAGAAAAUUAAAAAACAGAACUACCAUAUGAUCAAGCAAUUCCAUUUCUGGGAAUAUAUCCAAAGGAAACAAAAGCACUAACUCUAAAAGAUAUCUGUGCCCUUUUGUUCACUGCAGCAUUAUUUUCCAUAGCCAAGACACAGAAACAACCUAAAUAUCCAUCAGUGGAUGAAUGAAUAAAGACAUUGUGGUAUAAACAUAUACAAUGGAGUAUUAUUUAACCAUAAAUAAUGAGAAGUCGUGACAACAUGGAUGGACCUUGGAGGCAUUAUGCUAAGGGAAAUAAGUCAGAGAACAAUAAAUACUGUAUGAUCUCACUAAUAUGUGGAGUUAAAAAAAAUAAAGCUCAUAGAGAAAAGAUAAGCUUUCUGGAUACCAGAUGUGGAGAUGGUGGUGAGGGGGGAACGGGAGGAAGGUAGUCAAAAGGUACAAACUUCCAGUUAUAAGAUAAGUAAGUACUAGGGAUGGAAUGACAACAUGCUGAAGACUGCUAACACUGCCAUAUGCUAUACAGGAGAAUUGCGAAGAAAGCAAAUUACAAGAGCUCUUAUCACAAGGAGAAUUUUUUUCCUUUCUUAUUUUCUUUUUAUUGUAUCUAUAUGAGAAGAAGGAUGUUAGCUGACACUUUUGGGAUAAUCAUUUCAUAAUAUAUGUAAAGCAAAUCACGCUGUACACCUUAAGCUCACACACGAUGCAUGUCAAUUACUUCUCAAUAAAACUGGAAAGAAGAUAUUUAAAAGCAAUUAAAUAGGAAACCACAUAGUUAACAUAUCAUCCGUACAUUUUUCAGGACCAAGACUUAGAGAAUUAUCAUUGGGGUCAUUAAAACAGGUGCAACUAAAAUGUUUCACAACUGGAAGAAUCAUUAUUUUAAA